This 447-nucleotide ribosomal RNA is filed under the name Triticum aestivum (bread wheat). RNAcentral describes it as "partial small subunit ribosomal RNA". Lineage: Eukaryota; Viridiplantae; Streptophyta; Magnoliopsida; Poales; Poaceae. The record is from RNAcentral.
AUGCAGGGGAUGCAGGACGAGCAAGAUAAGAUUUGUCUUUCCCAGUCCUCCAAACUGCAGAAUCUCAAGAUAGAUGACAUCGAGGGCUUCCUUGGGGCGCCUGCCCUCUGUAGCCUCCUCUCUUCCUCCCUCACCGAGUUAACCUUUGUUGAGAACGAUGAGAUGGUGUGCUUCACAAAGGAGCAGGAGGAGGCACUUCACCUCCUCACUUCGCUCCAGAAACUCUGGUUUUGGAGUUGCAACAAGUUGGAGCACCUCCCUGCAGGGCUAAACAAGCUGACCAACCUCAACAGAUUAUGGAUCUACAAGUGUCCAGCCCUCCGUUCGCUGCCCAAGGACGCCCUCUCGAGUUCACUGCGAGAAUUAGAUGUUGAGGAUUGCGAUAACAACGAGCUAACAGAGCAGUGCAGGCGGUUAAUGGGAACCAUCCCGAAAAUCAUACUUUAG